This 811-nucleotide ribosomal RNA is filed under the name Phascolostrongylus turleyi. Its description in RNAcentral is "small subunit ribosomal RNA". Lineage: Eukaryota; Metazoa; Nematoda; Chromadorea; Rhabditida; Strongylidae. The record is from RNAcentral.
AAGAUUGCUUUUAUAGAUUUAAAAUUUGAUUAUGAUUUAUAAAAAGUUAAAAUGAUAUUAUUUAAUUAUAAUUUAUGUUGUGGGCAAUAAAAAUUUACCUCGGCAAUAUAUUAUUUGUAUAAUACUUGUUCCAGAAUAAUCGGCUAGGCUUGUAAAAAUUUAAACUUUAUUUAGUUUUUAUUAUAAUUUUUUGAUUUUAGUUUUAGUAAUCUUAGGUUAAAUUUUGAUUAUUAUAGUUGAUAAAUUAUAAUUUUAAAAUUUGUUAAGCGAAUUAGAUUAGUACCUAAUUAGUCAAAAGUUAAAAGAGCAGGAGUAAAGUUGUGUUUAAACUGAAAGAAUAUUGGCAGAUUUUCUAAAUUAUCUUUGGAGGUUGAGUAAUAAUUGAGAACCCUCAUUAACUACUUUAAAAAUUUGUCUCAUGUAUGAUCGUUUAUUUUACACUUAAGGUGUAUAAUAAAAAAUUAUUAUUUAUAAAAAUAGAUAUAUAUUUGGUUUAUGUAAGAGUAAAAUUUGACCUACAAUAGUUUGUGUUUGUGGACUUGUAGUUUAGUAGCUAUAAUUAAAAUGUAAAAGACAGUAAAAAAAUUUUAAUGUUUUUUUGAAGAUUAUUUAGACGUGGUACAAAUCAUCCAUCAAUUGCCCAAAGGGGAGUAAGUUGUAGUAAAGUAGAUUUAGGGGAACCUUAAUCUAGUAAUAAACUAUUUUUUUAAAAUUUUAAUGUUUUUUUGAAGAUUAUUUAGACGUGGUACAAAUCAUCCAUCAAUUGCCCAAAGGGGAGUAAGUUGUAGUAAAGUAGAUUUAGGGGAACCUU